Venturia canescens is the source of this 1160-nucleotide long non-coding RNA. RefSeq lists it as uncharacterized. The record is from RefSeq and is a predicted model, not a curated record. NCBI's taxonomy places the organism in Eukaryota, Metazoa, Arthropoda, Insecta, Hymenoptera, Ichneumonidae. The transcript has 2 exons.
ACCGUCAAUAAAUGACAGGCGACAGUCUCAACGGUCACCACGUGGUGAAGAUAAGCUCGGGUAUAUGUUUUGCAAGUACUGCAGUGACAUGAUUCGUCUAUUGGAUUAUUGUCACUCGCGUAGAUUCCCUUACGAAAAACACAAUCGUACAUGUCAACACCGAGAGCACAGCAGACGACGAGAUCGACUGCAAAACCAACGCCCAUCAAGUAGCGUGGUUUAUCCUUUGGUAACAAAUCUGUCGAGAGGUGCACCAUUCUCCAAAAGUCAUUUUUGCUCUCUCCGCCGCUGUGGAUAAACAAAAAUUAUCAUUCUUUCAACAUAAAUGAAAAUUGUAUAGUCAAUAAAAGAACUAACGAAGGAAAGUUCAAUAGGAGAUAAUUGUGAGAGCAUUCAAAUCAUACAGUUUGUUCAUGCACUCUCACCUGAGGCCACCGAUAGCAAAACCAUUUACAUUGCGCUUUGAUUGUCUUUUUGCACUUUCCAUUCGCAAUUCAGCAUUCAAACCACCUUGGACUAUUGGAAAAAUGCUUUGUUCUUCUGGCCUUUGAUGAGCUUCAAGACAUCGAUCGAGCCAGCGAGUUGUUCUAGUGAAAUAAUUCAUAUUCACAUUUAUUGAUCCUUUAUACAUGUUUUUGUACUAUGAAAACAUGUAUUGCACACAUUGUUACCAGAGUCACGUUGUUCAAUUGUUUUGUCUAAAUCGAAAUUGUUUCGAAAUUUCUUAAAACGAUUCUAUACCUUUCCAUAGCCUCUACGACUCGAGGUCCUGUUGUUGUGCUACUCACAACAUCGUCCAGUUGCAUAACUAUAUCUGCUCCAAUUGCAUUUUGAAUUUCUAUGGAGUGUUCUGGUGUCAACAUACAUUCUGAUCCUGUGUUUACAAAUUAUUGUACAGGGAGCGAUUAAAAGAAAAAUGAUGCGUUUGGUAUUUAUAGAAAAUUUUGUGAAUAUUUACCAUCAUAAGGUGAAGUAAAUUUAACUCCCUUUUCAGUUAUUUCAGCGAGCUUAAGUAGCGAAACCAUUUGAAAACCACCGGAAUCUGUGAGAAGACCUCGUUUCCAAUUCAUAAAUUUAUGUAAUCCCCCUGCUUUUUUCAUAAUUUCUGGACCCUUUGUAGAAAAAAAAUUAAUAAAUAAGAACUUUAGAUAUACGUUCAA